CUCGCGUGUCGUGUCAGCAGCCGCGGUAAUACAGAGGUGCAAGCGUUAAUCGGAAUUACUGGGCGUAAAGCGCGCGUAGGUGGUUUGUAAGUUUGGAUGUGAAAAUCCCCCGGGNUCAACCUGGGAACUGCAUCCAAAAACUGGCAAGCUAGAGUAGUGGUAGAGGGGUGGUGGAAUUUCCUGUGUAGCGGUGAAAUGCGUAGAAUAUAGGAAGGACACCAGUGGCGAAGGCGACCACCUGGACUGAUACUGACACUGAGGUGCGAAAGCGUGGGGAGCAAACAGGACUUAGAUACCCCUGGUACGUACCACGCCGUAAACGAUGUCAACUAGCCGUUGGGAG
This 343-nucleotide ribosomal RNA is filed under the name uncultured bacterium. RNAcentral's name for it is "bacterial SSU rRNA". It matches the Rfam family "Bacterial small subunit ribosomal RNA", at positions 493 to 829 of the family's 1533-position model. The record is from RNAcentral.